Molecule: ribosomal RNA, 427 nt
Filed under: uncultured bacterium
Lineage: Bacteria
Description: partial 16S ribosomal RNA
Rfam family: Bacterial small subunit ribosomal RNA
Source: RNAcentral
GUGGGGAAUAUUGGGCAAUGGGGGCAACCCUGACCCAGCGACGCCGCGUGGGGGAAGACGGCCUUCGGGUUGUAAACCUCUUUUGUACGGGAAGAAGGAAGUGACGGUACUGUACGAAUAAGUCCCGGCUAACUACGUGCCAGCAGCCGCGGUAAUACGUAGGGGACGAGCGUUGUCCGGACUUACUGGGCGUAAAGGGCGCGCAGGCUGUGCUGCAAGUCAGCUGUUAAAUGUCUGGGCUUAACCCGGGCAUGCGGUUGAGACUGCGGUGCUGGAGUGCUGUAGAGGCAAGUGGAAUUCCCAGUGUAGCGGUGAAAUGCGUAGAUAUUGGGAAGAACACCGGUGGCGAAGGCGACUUGCUGGCCAGCAACUGACGCUGAGGCGCGAAAGCCAGGGGAGCAAACGGGAUUAGAAACCCCGGUAGUCC